Molecule: RNA transcript, 6564 nt
Organism: Vitis vinifera (wine grape)
Lineage: Eukaryota; Viridiplantae; Streptophyta; Magnoliopsida; Vitales; Vitaceae
Gene name: alpha-glucan water dikinase 2
Exons: 5
Source: RefSeq, a predicted model, not a curated record
UUUCUUUUAUAGUUUCCUGCCUAUAUCACUUUCAACUGGCAAAAUGAGGGUUUUAUAGUUUAAAGAUUAUCUGCAAAAUUUUGAGAUUCAAAAAUUAAAAUUAUUAGAUAACUUAAAAGUGAUCAUAAAUUAUAAACUAGAUUUGGAAAUAGUAAUAUUUAAUUUUAAUUAUCUGGAGCACCGCCUUUCAACGGUCACUAGCUAGCGCUCGGUAUAUAUAGUCACCGUCCACUGGCCUUCGUGUAUCGCUCUCAUUUAGUUUGAAAGGCUUUAGAGGAAACUCUCCUUCAGAAGCUCUACCUUUUCGGAUUUGGGAAUCCAUUUUCUCAAUGUCUACAUUCAUGGUGGAAUGGGAUUGAUUCACUUAACUAGAGCCUUGGUGUUGAACGAAGAAUCAGGUUUCUUUUCCAUUAUUUUUAUGAAUUUUCUUUUCAGUUGGGUUUUGGUGAUAUCUCGGUUUCGAUUCAAGAAAGUUAAGGAGUCCAUUUUUCUUCAAUUUAAUUUUACUUUGGAUGAUUCGUUAUUCUUCCACAUUUUCCUAUGAAUUUCCAUUUCGUUUUACUUUCAGAUUAUGAUCUUCUUUUUCCCUUUUUGGGUCUUGAUCCUUUUUUUUUUCUCUCAAUCUUCAAAAGAUCAUGAUCUUUUUCUUCGUUAUUCUUCCAAAUUUUGCCAUGAAUUUCCAUUUCGUUUUACUUUCAGAUUAUUAUCUUUUUCCCUUUUUGGAUCUUGAUCGUUUAUUUUCUCUCAUUCUUCCAUUAUUUUUAUGAAUUUUCUUUUCAGUUGGGUUUUAAUGAUAUUUCAGUUUCGAUUCAAGAAAUUUAAGGAGUCUAUUUUUCUUCAAUUUAAUUUUAUUUUGCACGAUUCGUUAUUCUUCCAAAUUCUCCUAUGGAUUUCCAUUUCGUUUUGCUUUCAGAUUAUGAUUUUUUUCCCUUUUUGGAUCUUGAUCGUUUUAUUUUUCUCAUUCUUCAAAACAUCAUCUUUUUCCCUUUUCGGGUCUUGAUCGUUUUUUUUUUUCACUUUUGGAAAGAUUAUGAUCCUUUUUCCUUUUCGGAUUUUGAUCGUUUUUCUUUUCCACUUGUCAAAAGAUUAUGAUCCUUUACCCAUUUUGGAUCUUGAUUGUUUUUUGUUUUUUGUUUUUUUUUUAUUACUUUUCAAAUUUUUGGAGUUUAUGUUUUAUUUUGAAUCUCUUUCAAAUGUUUUAUUUUCUUUUUCUUUUUUCCUUUGGAGUUCCAAAUAUGAUGAGAAGUUUUUAGGUUCAAAAUUUUACUCACAUUUUGUCUGAGACCUGACGUCUAAAAUAUUUAGGUGUUGAAAAACUUGUAUCCUGUUCAAAUAUAUAUGCCGAGUUAUGUGGUUAAGAAAGAUCAUUAAAUCAAACAUAUACUUGGAUGGAUAACCAUGUUUGAUUUUAUAGACUGGUACGGGUCUUCAGGAAUGGAGGAUUUUUGUGUAAGGGAGUUCCUUUGUAUAUACUUUGGUCCGUCUUAAAAAAAAAAAAACCUCUAAUUCACUAGUACAGAUGGUUUGUGACUGUAUCAAAUGUGGAUAUCCCAUUGAUUGCUGUUAAACCUUCAAUAAUUUAAUUGUACUGGUUGUUUUAAUCACCUCAAUUAUGGAUGUGCAUUGUAAGAGAUUGCUGUCAAAAACUUCUUAUAAGAAACAGGGAUCACCGUUAAAAGCUAAUAUGAGAAAUAGAAAAGCUUUUGGGUUUCUAUAAUGGGAGUAAAGUUGAAGGUCCACCAUGUUAAUCCUUUCCUGAUUGUGUUCUAUAAUGGGAGUAAAGUUGAAGGUCCACCAUGUUAAUCCUUUCCUGAUUGUGUACAUAGCUUCUUAUGGUAGAAAGACAUAUGCUUACAUAACUGUAAUUUCCUCUGGUUACUACAAAAAAUAGUCAAAUUUUUGGGAAACAUCAUAAAAUUAUUUAUUUUUAUUAUUGUGCAAAGAAAAAGAUACUCUUGAAGAUGCUCCCAUCAUUUGGUAACUUUGCUUAGAUACUUGAUGCCUGUAAAUGAGAUGUGGGAUGUGAUGGAUUGAGGUUAUUUUAUUUGCGCAUUUACUUGAAAUUUCACCCAAACUGUCACUAUGGCAUCUUCUAGUUCUACCAACUGCACACAGGUUCCUCAAGUUCAUCAUUUUGACCUUGUGGAUAGCAUGCAGCUUCAGGUGGUAAUUUUCAUUUUUGACAUGAAGGUUAUAAGGUUAUAAUUUAUGAGUUAUAUUGGCUAAUUUGGAAGAUUGAAUUGACUUUGAUUCAUUGGUUUCUAUAGAUUAAUGUAUCUAGACCUUCAAAUGGAUGCAAUGCUAAAGUUGAACUUCAAUAUAAGAACUGUUCAAGAAAAGGGAUUCUUCCCUGGGGUUGCACUUACCAUGGAAAUCGGUAAUGUGAGAAUGGAGAACCUCAUCAUAGUCUAAUUUUCUUUUUAUACAGUUGGUUUGUAUGUAUGAACAAUUUUGAAUUUUUGUAUCCGUACAGGAGCUGGGUCAUUCCUUCUGAUUAUCCUUUAGAGACAAAACCUUAUCAGCAAAACUGCUUUGCAGAUUCCAUCUGUAAAGGCCUAUCUUUCUUUCCCUACCUCUUCUCUAUAUUUUUUAUUUGCACUGAAUUGACUAGCACAAAUUAAGAGUUUAGGGGGUUAUACAUAAGUUGAUGUCUUUGGUUAAUAUGCAGACUGGAUAGCAAAAGGUGGUUCUGCUAAAUUUCUUGUCAUUGUUUACUAGGUUGAAAUUAAACAUGGGAAUUUCCAAAUUGAGAUACCUAAGAGUGUGAUGCAUAAUACCUCUCAUCUACCUAUACCAAAAGUUCUGAUAGAGUGAAAAGCAUAUUUACUGUGGGAAAGCAAGGGCAAGCCAAUGAGCUCACUGCGACAACAAAAUGUGGUUCUGCCUUUUGCAAUUGACAAUAUCUCAAUCUAUCAAAGACUUCCCCAAAGAAUUAAAUAACUAUUUCAUACUUGCAUAUUACUUAGCACUGCCUUCUAUGUCCAUUUAUUUGAGAGUUUUGUUUCUUAAUUUAGAUGUGACUUUUCAAGAGAGCGUAUUCUACACUUAUUUUUGCUUUCACCUAAUUAAGAAAAUCAGGGCUUUUUUGGCCUUUCUUUCCUUGUUAAAAUGAAUAACAUGUGUACAUAGAUGGUCAUGGUUCUCAAUGAAAAGUGAUUGAGAGUUGCGAAGAACAAUGUAUGUUUGUGUAGUCUGUCUUUUCUUAUAAGUUUCAAGAAGGAAUAUCCUGCACACUUGUUUAGGAGAAGUUGAGCAAUGUAUCUAUUUAUUAUUUAAAGCAACAUGUGGAGCAUUCAUCUAUCUACCUAGGGGUUUAGCCCUGUAUACAUUUAAAACAGUUCAUUUAUUAUCGCAUCUUCCUUUUACUGUGGCACUAGUUAUAUUAAUGGGCUUGUGCCCCAACUCCAGUUGUUCUGCCAAUGGUGCAUAUGCAUGUGCUAGACAGCCUUAUACCAUAUAACAGCCCAACUUCAGUUGUCCUCUCAAUUCAACUGAUGUUGAAUUAUUGAACUUUCACAAAGAAACUCACUAGAGUUUUCAUAAUUUCUUUGGAAGUGUCACCAAAUUUGGUGUUGGUUUUUUAUAUUUCUGAUGCAGCAAGACUAUGAAGAUGGUUUGAGGGAGCUUCAGAGUCAGUUGUUGAAGUGAAUUUCCUUGCAUGAAUUGCAAAGUAAUAUUCUUAAUGUGGGUGCUAAAGCAAUGGCUGGUAAUAAUGCACAACCUAGCUGCCAAACACCUUUGACCAUUGGAAGCAUUACGUCAGGAAGUGGUUAGAAAGGCAUUCGUAGGGACACACCAAAAGGGCUGGUUUUCCAUUGAUGAAUGAGAAGUGUAUUGGAGGAGAUAAAGUGAUCCUGCAGCAAAGUUAUUGUGUUGACUACUACAACAUGGUGGUUAGUUUUCUUUUCUUUUGAGAAGUGUAUUGAAGUGAAUUUCCUUGCAUGAAUUGCAAAGUAAUAUUCUUAAUGUGGGUGCUAAAGCAAUGGCUGGUAAUAAUGCACAACCUAGCUGCCAAACACCUUUGAGCAUAGGAAUAGAAAGGCAUUCCUAGGGACACACCAAAAGGGCGGAUUUUCCAUUGAUGAAUGAGAAGUGUAUUGGAGGAGAUAACGUGAUCCUGCAGCAAAGUUAUUGUGUUGACAACUACAACAUGGUGGUUAGUUUUCUUUUGAUGAAAUUGUGGUUAUGCUAAAGAGAGUGAACAAUGUGCUUCGAAACUCUUUGGACCUUGAUUUUUGGCUAACACUAGGUCACUUAUCUGUAUAAGUUGGCUUGUCAAAUUGUUGCAUCAUGAUCAAAUCCUAUUUCAUGGUGAAGCUUGUGGGGAAUCUUAUCUGACAAUUUGUCCUUUUUGAAAAUGGUCGGGGCUGAUUAUGGCAUAGUGGUUGCUACAAACAUGAAAAGUGCUACAGUGCUUCACUAAGGUGAAUCAAAGUUGUCCCCAGGGGAAGUGAGUUAAUUGUUUCCUGAUCUAGUAAGAGACUGUUUUAGAAAACUGAACAUAAUAAGCAUUAGACUCAUUUGGUGGUUGUUGAGUAUGUGAACCGUUACUUCAACAGUUGGGCUUUAUCACUGGUUGUCAGGCCUCUCCACCAGAGAUCUUGCAUGGAAAAUCAAAGCUGCUUGAUGGAGCAUGUCAGAUCUAUUUUACUGACAUGUUGAUUGGAAAAGGAUUCUUCCAGGUUAACAUAAGCAAAGCAUUUGUUUUUAUUACACACACACUUUAUCCUGACUGCACUUGUUACAGUUGGUCGCUAUUAAUUUGCAUCAAAGGUAGUUUUUGGGCCCACCGUUUGUCAUCUGGUCAGGUGGAUCAUGGAUAAAAGUAAUGGGUCAAAUUUCUCAACAGGCCUAAAAGCUAUGAAUCCACAUGGAAAGGUCACUCUCUUUUUCCCUCCUUAAUGAUUACUUAUGUUGUUCUUACGGUUUUAUGAUAGAAAUUUAAGUUGUAUUUCUGUGGUGCCACUAGUUUUGCGAAUAUGCAUAAAUGUAAACUGCCUAUGAAGUUUAAAAAGGUUUUCAUUUGCAUUCUGUUGUUUGCAACAUUCAUUGACUAGUUUUAAAACUUCAUAUGUUUUAUUAUUAUUCAUCUAUUUAACAUAGAAUAAGUAGAGUUGCCACUCUUAGUAGUCCAUAAUCGAACACAAUGAUUGUAUAAAAGGAAAAGAGGGCUUGUUUCUAUCUCAUACCUGAAGGGUAUGAUUUUUAGUUGCAGCAACGUUGCAGGUUUAGUCACAGGACCCAACAAAAUAUUGGGCUUUAAUUAUUACAUCUUUAGCAAUAAAAGAUCACAAUAAUCAUUUGAUUUGGGGACCUGUACCUGGGAAUGAGACCCUCAUAGCAUAACGACCUUUAAGGGGUUAUUUCCUAGUGCAAUGAUGACACUUCAUUCAUUUGGACAAUCCAACAUAUGAAGAUAUGUAUUGUCUCAUACCAAUUUCCAAAAUAUUUUCUUUAUUGGAAUAGGAUUAAUGGCCAUAGUUAGGGUGUUGCAGAAAUGCUUUUUCCUCAUUUUCUAAUGAAGCUGCGUUUUUUUAAUUAAUAAGCGCCUAUCUAUUUUCUUCCAAAUAUUCUAGUGAAUGGCAGCAAAAUGUCUGUGCCUGGCUCCACCCUCAUAAAGGAAUUUGAAUGCCCAAUGCCUUUUUAAUGGUUUUGUCCAAUUGAGUUCUUUACAAAUUCAUAAUAGCAUCAGAUUUUCCUUACUUGUGUAGCAAAACUUUAUUUAUUUGUUAUAUAGUCCUUUGUUUUGUUUUUUUUCUUUUUUCAAUUACCAUAGCUUUCAAAGUGGAAACUAAAAUAGUCCUUUGAUGUGGGUUGAAGAGAAUGGGAAAGGUAUUGUCAAAUGGUUGGCUUGAUGAAAUAAUAUCAUGAAGAAAAGAAAGAGGCUUAGAGAUCAUUGAUGCAUUGAAUUCCAAUUCCAUGGCAUUCAGAAAUGUUGCUUUAUAUGUUGAAUAGUUUUGGUGGACUUGAAGCAUUGGAAUAUUUCAAAACAAGGGUGCAAACAUAAUUUAAAAGGCUCAAGGCACACCAAGGUGCAAAGUCUUCCUAGAGCCUAAGGCGCAAGAUGCACAUAAGAUUCUCUUGUCUCAAAAAGGUAGUAGUGAUUGAGAAUUGCGUUAUGUUUUAGAAUAUAAAGCAGCAACCUUUGCAAUUCACAUGUUGUGCACUGGGCUUCAGCAAAUUGGGAAACUUAUUCAUGGCUCUUUAAAAAAAUUAAAUUAAAUUAAAUCAAAAUGUACUAAACGGUAACCUUCGAAGAAGGUUUUGGUGCGUGUAAAGGAACAUGUCCGGACUCCUGAGGGGACUUUUGGAAACCGCCUUUCUAUGCAUAAGAUUUCUUCAUUGAAAUAGAUACUAUAUAUUUUCCUUUCAGGUCAAUUAUAUCACUAUAUUUUAUAUUCGCCCAAUAGGGACCACCAAAGCAUGACUUUUGAUAUCUAACGCGUAUGGGACUUACUCCACUCUUGAUUUGCUCAUUCGAUAUGAUUUAGAUUUUCAUGUACUCUCAAGACUUGGUCCACAACGAAUAUUCGUUUGCUUUAAGCCUUUGUGCCAUCUUCCCCU